RNAcentral lists this ribosomal RNA (492 nucleotides) under uncultured bacterium. Its description in RNAcentral is "partial 16S ribosomal RNA". It matches the Rfam family "Bacterial small subunit ribosomal RNA", at positions 29 to 507 of the family's 1533-position model. The record is from RNAcentral.
AGUGAACGCUGGCGGUAGGCCUAACACAUGCAAGUCGAACGGCAGCACAGUAAGAGCUUGCUCUUACGGGUGGCGAGUGGCGGACGGGUGAGGAGUACAUCGGAAUCUACUUUUUCGUGGGGGAUAACGUAGGGAAACUUACGCUAAUACCGCAUACGACCUACGGGUGAAAGCAGGGGAUCUUCGGACCUUGCGCGAUUGAAUGAGCCGAUGUCGGAUUAGCUAGUUGGCGGGGUAAAGGCCCACCAAGGCGACGAUCCGUAGCUGGUCUGAGAGGAUGAUCAGCCACACUGGAACUGAGACACGGUCCAGACUCCUACGGGAGGCAGCAGUGGGGAAUAUUGGACAAUGGGCGCAAGCCUGAUCCAGCCAUACCGCGUGAGUGAAGAAGGCCUUCGGGUUGUAAAGCCCUUUUGUUAGGAAAGAAAAGCAGCAGGUUAAUACCCCGCUGUUCUGACGGUACCCAAAGAAUAAGCACCGGCUAACUUCGUG